Long non-coding RNA from Mus musculus (house mouse), 1669 nucleotides. RefSeq annotates it as predicted gene, 51445. The transcript is spliced from 3 exons. Lineage: Eukaryota; Metazoa; Chordata; Mammalia; Rodentia; Muridae. The record is from RefSeq and is a predicted model, not a curated record.
AAGCCCUGUGUCUGGGAUGGACUGCUGACGCUCCCUGCCCCCAUCUGUCCCUGACCAUCUGCUCCAGGGCGGUGGGGCCGCGAAAGGGAGCUUUUGUCACGUCUGUCCCCUGAGCCAUCUAACUGCCACACCUCGGAUGGAGGAGGGGUUGGUGUAUGAGACAGGCCAAGAGCACUCUACAGGAAUAAACAGAGCAGCAGAGGUGGGAAGGAAGCCCAGCUCUGUGUUUAAUCACUCACCGCUGUCGAAUUCAUCAGGAAUCUGGGGAAAAAAGGAAAGGUUUGAACCGGCAGAGGCAGGAGCCCAGCACAUUCAGUCUGCGAGUUCCAGGCUGAGUCCCAGAGAAGAAGGGAGAGGCUCAGUGCAGACUAUAGAGAGCCUGACCCAAUGGAAGGCAACCUGCCCCGCACCCUCACAGAACCGACCCCUCACACCUCUGCCUCUCACUCUCCUCACCUUGGUACCAUUUUCAUCCACAGGGUUGUUUCCUGCCAGGGAAGGAGACAAGAGACAAAUGAAGAAAACUGGAGCCUUGGAGCAGUGUCUACUGGGUCUGGAGGGGGGAGGAGAGUGAGGGGUGGGGACUCCCCACUCAAAGGGAUUAUGGCUAGAGGCACAGCUCCUGGAUAAAGGGAGGAAGAGGUUAGGGGUCAGGAUUCCAAGUGGGCUGGGGCUGAGCUGGACACACAAGGGGAAGGUAGACUUCUGCUGCUGAGAUGGACACAUAGCUUCAGGCACGGUGACAGGUUAUUUCUCCACCAAUACGAACCGCAGUCCCUUGUCCCAGGACUGAAACCAAGCACACUGGUCUAGCCCUACUCUUCCCACCAUUCCCUUAGUUCCUGAAUUCAGGUACAGGGAACAACUAGAGGAUAGAACUUUUAAGUACAAGGGGUCGAAGAGGACUUCUUGAAUUUCAAGCCUCAAGAUCAAGAACCAGGAAGUGGACAUCCAGAGCAGAAAACUGUGUCCCUGAAGGGGCGAGGACUACGACCAAUGGGAUCGCUGAGGUAGUGCGUGUGGACAGGAACCCGAGAGGGACAAAAAGAACUGGGCGGAGUACCUUUGGUGCGCUCCUAGUCGGUCUUUCCUCUGGCUGAGCGCGAAAUUGGAAUACUGUCAUCUGGCACCACGCCCCCUGGGGCCCUAAGGACCGCCACCAUCCAGUCGCUCGGACUUUGCCUUUCACCUCCCAUCGUUAGAAAUGGACAGAGGCCCAAAAAGUGAGCUGACCCAGCAUCCCUCAGUUUUUCUCACGUGGACCAGGAGGCUGAACCAGUCUUCUUUCCCGUCUCCAGAUCUCUUUUUACCCCUAACGCCGUGAGUUUGUAGAAAGGACUGGAGUAUCUUUCCUUUGCCCAACCACUCAUUUGGAUCUACCACUCAUCUGGAUUCAACCAAAGGAACGUUCCGUGCUGACUUGUUUAGGCUUUAGAGUGAUUAAGAAAGCAGUGAAUUAGGGGUGCGGGAGCCACCAUGAGUCUUGCCCAAGUUGUUUUCUAUUUGUUUGUUUAUUCAUUCCUUUAUUUGUUUAAUCAUUUAUUAUUCACUCGUUCAUUCACUCAUUUUAAAUGUAUGAGUGCACUGUCUGCAGGUACAAUUGCAUGCCAGAAGAGGGGAUCAUAUCUCUUUAUAGAUUGAACUCAGACCCUCUGGAAGAACAGCCAGU